Molecule: ribosomal RNA, 263 nt
Filed under: uncultured Staphylococcus sp.
Lineage: Bacteria; Bacillati; Bacillota; Bacilli; Caryophanales; Staphylococcaceae
Description: partial 16S ribosomal RNA
Rfam family: Bacterial small subunit ribosomal RNA
Source: RNAcentral
CGGACGGGUGAGUAACACGUGGAUAACCUACCUAUAAGACUGGGAUAACUUCGGGAAACCGGAGCUAAUACCGGAUAAUAUAUUGAACCGCAUGGUUCAAUAGUGAAAGACGGUUUUGCUGUCACUUAUAGAUGGAUCCGCGCCGCAUUAGCUAGUUGGUAAGGUAACGGCUUACCAAGGCAACGAUGCGUAGCCGACCUGAGAGGGUGAUCGGCCACACUGGAACUGAGACACGGUCCAUACUCCUACGGGAGGCAGCAGAC